Molecule: ribosomal RNA, 520 nt
Filed under: uncultured Alphaproteobacteria bacterium
Lineage: Bacteria; Pseudomonadati; Pseudomonadota; Alphaproteobacteria
Description: bacterial SSU rRNA
Rfam family: Bacterial small subunit ribosomal RNA
Source: RNAcentral
GGCGGCAGGCCUAAAACAUGCAAGUCGAGCGCCCAGCAAUGGGAGCGGCGGACGGGUGAGUAACACGUGGGAAUGUACCUUUCGGUACGGAACAACGCAGGGAAACUUGCGCUAAUACCGUAUGCGCCCUUACGGGGAAAGAUUUAUCGCCGAAAGAUCAGCCCGCGUUGGAUUAGCUAGUUGGUGAGGUAACGGCCCACCAAGGCGACGAUCCAUAGCUGGUUUGAGAGAACGACCAGCCACACUGGGACUGAGACACGGCCCAGACUCCUACGGGAGGCAGCAGUUGGGAAUCUUGGACAAUGGGGGAAACCCUGAUCCAGCCAUGCCGCGUGAGUGAUGAAGGCCUUCGGGUUGUAAAACUCUUUCGACGGGGACGAUAAUGACGGUACCCGUAGAAGAAGCUCCGGCUAACUUCGUGCCAGCAGCCGCGGUAAUACGAAGGGGGCUAGCGUUGUUCGGAAUUACUGGGCGUAAAGCGUGCGCAGGCGGUCUUCCAAGUCAGUGGUGAAAGCCCGGA